Bos taurus (domestic cattle) is the source of this 1867-nucleotide long non-coding RNA. The record is from Ensembl. Lineage: Eukaryota; Metazoa; Chordata; Mammalia; Artiodactyla; Bovidae.
GUAAAGAAAGAUUAAUCAUCCUGUUUGCCUAUUAUUAUAUUUAAAUUUAGAGAAAUUGUAUGUUUCAAUGAAAGGUAUUGAACAUGAUUAGUUUUCUCUAAACAUUAUCCUGUUUUGCAGGAUUAAGGAUAGACAUAUAGAUCAAUGGAACAGAAUUGAGCAUCCAGAUAUGGAUCUACACUUAUGUGGUCAGUUGAUUUUCAGUAAAGGUAUCAAAGAAUGUCAAUCGGAAGAGAAUAGGCUUUUCAAGAAAUGUUUCUGGAAUAACUAUAUAUCCACAUGGAAAACAAAUGAACUUUUAUCUCUCUUCACUCCAUAUACCAAUAUUAAUUCAAAAUAGAUCACUGACCUAAAUGUAAGAGCAAAACCACAUACAUCGUGUAGAACAAAGUAUAGGAGACAAACUUUGUGACCUUGAGACAACACACAAAAAGCAUGAACCAUAAAUUUAAAAACUGAUAAAUAGUCUUAAAAAAAUUAAAAUUUUUUGCUUAUUGAUAUCAUUAAGAAAAUGAAAAGGCAAGCUACAGCCUGGGGAAAAAAUAUUUGUAAAGCAUAUAUCUGACAAGGGACUUGUGUCCAGAUCUAAUUUAGGACUUUUACAACUCAAUGAUAAAAACAACUCAAUUUUAAGAAAUGGGAAAGAUCUGUACAGGUACUUCACAGAAAGAUGUCCAACUUGAUUGGUCAUUGCUGCUGCUGCUGCUGCUGCUGCUAAGUUGCUUCAGUCGUGUCCGACUCUGUGCGACCCCAUAGACAGAAGCCCACCAGGCUCCCCCGUCCCUGGGAUUCUCCAGGCAAGAACACUGGAGUGGGUUGCCAUUUCCUUCUCCAAUGCAUGAAAGUGAAAAGUGAAGGGGAAGUUGCUCAGUCGUGUCCGACUCUUUGCGACCCCAUGGACUGCAGUCUACCAGGCUCCUCCAUCCAUGGGAUUUUCCAGGCAAGAGUACUGGAGUGGGGUGCCAUCGCCUUCUCCAUGAUUGGUCAUUAAGGACAUGCAAAUUUAAACCACAGUAAGAUACUACUAUACUCAUAUUAGAAUUUCUCAAAAAGACCGAAAUGUCAAGUGUUGGUGAAGAUAUGGUACAACCAAAACUCCCGUAUACUGCUAGUGAAAGUGCAAAGUGGUGCAGCUACUGGAAACAGUUUUGUCAGUGUCUUAACAAUUGAAACAUGCACCUACUACAUGACCCAGUGAUUCUACUCCUAGGGGUUUACCUUAGUAAAUGAAAAUAUAUGUCCACACAAAGAUUUGUACACAAAUGUUCAUAGCAGCGUUAUUCAUAGUAACCAAACAAUAGGAACACUCAAAUACCUAUCAGCUGGUCCGUGUGUAAACAAAAUGUGGCAUAUGCAUUCAACAGAAUACAACUGCAAAUAAAGCAAAAUAAACUAUUGACACACAAAACAAUGUAGAAAUAUCUUAAAAAUGUAAUGACAAGUGAAAAAACAAAUGACACAAAAGACAUAGGAAAUAUGAAUGUGAAGUCCUGGAAAAAGCAAAAUACAACAGCAGAAGGCAGACCAGUGCUUGUCUUGAGGCUGGGGGGUGAGGUACAACUUGAUCACAAAGGGGAAUGAGGGAUUUUGGGAGGGUGAGUAAAGUGUUCCAAAGCUUACUCCUGUAGUAGUUGCACAGCUCUAUAUACUUACUAAAACCAUACUACUUUACACUUAAAAUGGGUAAAUUUUAUAUUAUAUAAAUAUGCUUCAAAAUGAUCUUAAAGUAUAUACAUUAAGCCUCAAGAGAGUUUUUUAACAAAAAAAGAUAAUUGUUAUUCAGCAAAAAAUUUGUUGCUGAUAAGAUCAAUUUAAAAUGCCUAGCCUACCAAUCCAUUUUCUACAAAACAAUUAUCUUUGUGCAGUC